AUGGGCCCAUCCCUGGGCAUGGCUCCAUCCCGGGGCUGUGCUCCCGUCCCGGGGUCGUGCUCCUGUCCCUGGGUACCUCCCCCAUCCCUGGGUCACGCUCCCAGCCCUGGGUACUGCUCCCAUCCCCAGGUCCUGCUCCCAGCCCCGGGGGAUGCUCCUAUCUCUGAGCGAUGCCCCCGUACCCAAAUUGUGCUCCCAUCCCGGGUACCUCCCUCAUCCCUCGUUCCUGCUCCAUCCUUGAUGAAUGCUCCUGCUCCAGGUGCAGACCCCGCUCCACCCCCCCGCCAUAAAUUCACCUUCCCACCCGCCCCCUGCCCACGGCCAGGCCCACGGGGAUCUCUCCCUUCUCGCGCUCCCUCUCCUCCUCCCCUCCUCCCAGCCGCCUUUCAAACACAAACACGGAGCAGUGGAAAAUGUGACCGCCGCGGAGCUGCAGAUAACUCGGGGCCGAGCCGUGGCCAACUGGAACAGCAGAGGCUUGGCUGCGGCCCCGGCUGGAGCAAGCAGUGGCCGGGGGGGGGCCGGGGGACCCGGCGGGGGACAGCGCGGGACUCCCUCGCGCCUCGCUCCCUCGGCUCCCUGGGUUUCCACGUCACUGCUGGCCGGCCUGGCACUGCUCCGGCCACAGCAGCUUCCCCAGGGGCCAAAUCCAGCCGAGGAGGAGGCUGCGGGGACCCCAGCCUGGGGGGAAUGUCCUUAGGAUGGGGAUCCCGGUGGCGGCGGCGUGGGGGUGGGAUGGAAGCGCCAUGGGUGGUGCUGAGGGAGAAGGUUGGAGAUGCCCGGAGGUGGUGCCUGGAUGAGGAUGGAGAUGCUCGGGGUGGUGCUGGAUGGGCAGGCUCGGGGUACCCAGGGAUGGUGCUGGAGGAGGAGGGUGGAGUUGCCCAGGGAUGGUGGCACACGGGCAGGUUAGAGGUGCUCAGCGCUGGUGCUGGGUGGGCAGGAUGAAGACAGCAUCCCAGGGAUGAUGCCGGGGUGAGGACCACGGUGCCCAGGGAUGGGGCCAGAUGAGGAUGGCGCUGCCAUGGGCAGGAUGGAGAGGCCCGGGUGCGGUGCCAGCUGGGCAGGAUGGAGAGCCCGGGGAUUGUGAUGAACGAGGAUGGAGAUCCCAGGGGUGGUGGCACUUGGACAGGAUGGAGAUGCCACAGAUGGUGGCACAUGGGCAGGACGGGGGUGCCAGGGAGGGUGGCACAUGGGCAGGACGGAUGCCAGGAACCAUCCCUCGUGGCCGCAGCGGUGCCCGCGGCAGCCCAGCAGCGGUGAUGCCCACGGGAGCACGACGGAGCCCCGGCACUGGGCAGCCCGGAGGUGUGUGGGCUGGGAGCAGCAGCGGUCGGAGCAGCCCGUUUGUUUCUCAUUAGCGGCUCUUGGCAGGAGCUGUGGAAAAAAUAGCUUCAAACAGCAGAGCUGGAAGGGAAAAGGCUGGGCCAGAGGGAGGGGAGAGGGGCCGCGGUGGGGAAGGGGGCGCAGGGCCAGACGGGGCGCGGGGAAGGGGCUGGGGGUCUGCGGCCUGCGUGGGUGCAGGGACGGGGAAGGGGACGGGGUCCCCGUGGUGGCAUCCCGUUCCUCAGGGAGCAGCAGCCGGGGAGCUCGAGCACACGCGUGUGUUGGUGUGUGCUUCCGUGCACGGGGCCGGCGAGCCCCGCGUGUGCGCGCACACCUGGUGGUGUGAGCAUGGCCGGGGAGGGGACAGGGCCCCGGGAGGUUCCUCGCGGCACCGGGGCCGAUCCUCACGUUUUUGGGGGCGGCGGGAGGCCCCGAGCCGCUUACGCAACCGCGUGUCUGCGAGCUUCGACGAGCGCCGCCAAGUCCCCCGAACACGAGCGGGGGGGGAGCAGGGCGAGGACCGCCGCGAGCUCGGCCCUGCUGCUCCUCCUCCGUGGCACGGUGGCUUGUCCCCAGUGCCAUGGUGGUGCCAGGGUGGCACCGGUGCCAUACGGCCUCUCCCUAGGGCUGGGAACCGGCAGCAUCGCGAUGGGGUCAUCUGGGGACAGUGCCCGGGCGUGCCGCUCGUCCCCACGGACGGGGCCAUGCCAACAGGAGCCGGUGGCACCGUGGCAGCGGGCACACGGACGCGGUCCCCAUGGGUGUGGGGACACCUCGGCGUGGCCAGGAGGGGGUCCCCGUGUGCCCCUCGCCGUGUGGCACGCGUGCUCGGUGUGCGCGUGCAGCCCCGUGUGUCGGUGCACACAGUGGGCACGCGCGUGGCCCCAUGGGUUUGGCACAGGUACGUGGCCUCCGGGAGCCACCUGGCUAUUUCUGCCUCCCGCCUGGCUUUAAUUCUACCCUGGCUGCUGCCGGCGUGUAAUUAGGAGCCCAAAAAAAGGCCGGCAGCCUCCCCGGGCACCGUGUAAUCUGCGGCAGCGCAUGGACACGCAGCGCUGCGGCCCCGGGGAGGGACCGGGGCACCGGGGGGGGGCGGCGAGCACCCGUAGCCCCGUCUGGGUGUCCCCGCACAGCCGGUGCUGCCGGAGCACCCCUGGGCUGGAGGGGACCGCAGCAAGCUGGGGGGGCUCUGCUUUGGGUUUAUAAUACGGGGGGGUGUUGAAAGUGAGGGCCCCCACCACAGCAGCCCCGGUUUGGGGACCUGCCGGCAACCCCUGGGGAGGGAGCGCAGGAGGACACGCGGCGGCAGUGCCUUCGUUAAGCCCCUGAGCCAAUUAGCCCAGCACAGCCACCCCGUGCACCCCCCCAGCAAAGCCCCCGCUCCCUGGGUGCCAAUAAACCCCUUAAGGGGAUGAUCCUGCUUAAGGCAGCACCGGGCGGGCAGGGCGCUAUAGCACCCAUGGGUGUCACCUCUGCUCCCCACUUGGUGUCACCGCAGGGACUUCGCCGCCGUCCCCUUGUCCCCUGGCUCCCCACGUGCUAUGGGGCAGCCCCAAAUCACUGCACCCCCCCCCACACCCCUUGUGUAACUCACCUGGGUGCACGGCCCCUGCCUGUGUCCCCACGACCCCCGGCUCGCCUGCUGGGGGGGGCACGGCGUGGGGCAGCCCCACGGCCCGGCCCCCAGCCCCACGGCAGCCCCGGUGGUGCGGGGCUGAUCGGCUUUGGAGAGCUUAAGGUCCUGAGCCAGCGGCUUCACGCCUGCGAGGAGAUCCCGCUCCUUCGGCCUCGCCGCCGUCACCUCGCCUGACCCGGGGACACGGCUCCAGCGGGGCACGACCGGAGGGUGUGCAAGACACGGCACCCCCUGUGCCACCCCACGUGCACCCCUUGUGCCAUCUUGAGCAUCCCUGUGUCACCCCGUGUGCAUCCCAUGGUACCCCCUGUGACACCCCGAGCACCCCAUGUGCCACCCCAUGCACCCUGCACGCAUCCCGUGCACCCCCUGUGCCCACCCCAUGUGCAUCCCGUGCACCCCCUGUGCCAUCCUAAGCACCCCCUGUGCCACCCCAUGUGCGUCCUGUGCACCCCCUGUGCCACCCUAAGCACCCCCUGUGCCCACCCCAUGUGCAUCCUGUGCACCCCCUGUGCCACCCCAUGCACCCUGCACGCAUCCCGUGCACCCCCUGUGCCACCCCAUGUGCGUCCUGUGCACCCCCUGUGCCACCCCAUGCACUCUGUGUGCGUCCCAUGAACCCCCUGUGGCAACCCAUGUGCACCCCAAGCCACUCCCUGAGCCACCCCGUGCACCCCCUGUGCCACCCCGUGCACCCUGCAUACAUCCCAUGCACCCUGUGCCACCCCAUGUGCACCCCAUGUCACCCCCUGUGCCACCCUGUGCACCCUGCAUACACCCCGUGACCCCUUGUGCCACCCCAUGUGCAUCCUGUGCAACCCUGUGCCACCCCGUGCACCCUACAUGCACCCCGUGCACUCUGUGCCACCCCAUGUGCACCCCCUGUGCCACCCCGUGCCCCCCCUUCUCACACCCAGAGCAUGCACCACACCCCCCCCCUGCACACACACACUGCUGUGGGCACACACGCGUUGCACACACCACGUGCAUCAUACACCACUGCACCCCCCCCCCCCUUCAUGGACACCCCCCCAGCUGCAUUUUGGGUUUGGGGGCGCUGGCACCCCCCCGGGCUCCCCUCCCCGUGCCACCCCAGCCACGCUCCUGGUCUGCUCCAUCCUGGUCUGCAGCAGCUCCCACGGGCACAGCCUGACCCCCCCCCCACCCCAAAGCUGGCGGGGGGGGAGCAGAGCUGCUGGGGCUGGGGGGUUUGGGGGGGGGGGAGGUGGCAGGACCCCCCCGGACAGCCCCGGCCCCGCUCCAGCUCCCACGGCCGGGGACACGUGGCCUUUCCCUCUGCCAACGGGAGCCCCUUGGGAACGGGAGCAAAAAGCCUGGAAAUGCCCCAAAAUCCACCCGUGCCCAGCGGGG
Molecule: long non-coding RNA, 4330 nt
Filed under: Cairina moschata (Muscovy duck)
Lineage: Eukaryota; Metazoa; Chordata; Aves; Anseriformes; Anatidae
Description: domestica (muscovy Duck (domestic type)) lncRNA (ENSCMMG00000011937.1)
Source: RNAcentral